AAGAGAUCGGGAUAACACCUGGAAACAGAUGCUAAUACCGGAUAACAACAGAUGAUGCCUAUCAACUGUUUAAAAGAUGGUUCUGCUAUCACUCUUGGAUAGACCUGCGGUGCAUUAGCUAGUUGGUAGGGUAACGGCCUACCAAGGCGAUGAUGCAUAGCCGAGUUGAGAGACUGAUCGGCCACAUUGGGACUGAGACACGGCCCAAACUCCUACGGGAGGCAGCAGAG
This 230-nucleotide ribosomal RNA is filed under the name uncultured Lactobacillus sp. RNAcentral's name for it is "partial 16S ribosomal RNA". It matches the Rfam family "Bacterial small subunit ribosomal RNA", at positions 132 to 354 of the family's 1533-position model. The record is from RNAcentral. Lineage: Bacteria; Bacillati; Bacillota; Bacilli; Lactobacillales; Lactobacillaceae.